Molecule: ribosomal RNA, 494 nt
Filed under: Clavispora lusitaniae
Lineage: Eukaryota; Fungi; Ascomycota; Pichiomycetes; Serinales; Metschnikowiaceae
Description: LSU rRNA
Rfam family: Eukaryotic large subunit ribosomal RNA
Source: RNAcentral
UAAGCGGAGGAAAAGAAACCAACAGGGAUUGCCCCAGUAACGGCGAGUGAAGCGGCAAAAGCUCAAAUUUGAAAUCCUGCGGGAAUUGUAAUUUGAAGGUUUGAUGGUCUGAGUCGGCCGCGCCCAAGUCCAUUGGAACAUGGCGCCUGGGAGGGUGAGAGCCCCGUCUGGCGCACGCCGACUCUUUGCACCGCGGCUCCGACGAGUCGAGUUGUUUGGGAAUGCAGCUCUAAGUGGGUGGUAAAUUCCAUCUAAAGCUAAAUAUUGGCGAGAGACCGAUAGCGAACAAGUACAGUGAUGGAAAGAUGAAAAGCACUUUGAAAAGAGAGUGAAACAGCACGUGAAAUUGUUGAAAGGGAAGGGCUUGCAAGCAGACACGGUUUUACCGGGCCAGCGUCGAAAUGAAACGAAGGAAAAGGGGGAAAGAAUGUGGCGCGUGCCUUCGGGUUCGCGUGUUAUAGCUUUCUCCAAUACCCCCAUGUUUGUUUGAGGCC